RNAcentral lists this ribosomal RNA (1872 nucleotides) under metagenome. RNAcentral describes it as "bacterial LSU rRNA". It matches the Rfam family "Bacterial large subunit ribosomal RNA", at positions 301 to 2295 of the family's 2925-position model. The record is from RNAcentral.
CAGGCCAAUGCCGUAUCUCUUUUGAACUGGAACCUUCUGGAAAGUUGGGCCUGAGUGGGUGAUAGCCCCGUACAGGUAGGAAAGAGACGCGGAUCCUNGAGUAGGGCGGGACACGUGAAAUCCUGUCUGAACNNGGGGGGACCACCCUCCAAGCCUAAGUACUCNUNNAUGACCGAUAGUGAACNAGUACCGUGAGGGAAAGGUGAAAAGCACCCCGACGAGGGGAGUGAAAUAGACCCUGAAACCGNAUGCCUACAAUCAGUNGGAGCCCCUUUAGGGGUGACNGCGUACCUUUUGUAUAAUGGGUCAGUGACUUAGUCUGGCNAGCAAGCUUAANCCGUUAGGUGUAGGCGCAGCGAAAGCGAGUCUGAACAGGGCGUUCAGUUNGUNGGAUUAGACCCGAAACCGAGUGAUCUAGAUAUGAGCAGGUUGAAGGUGCGGUAACACGCACUGGAGGACCGAACCCACUAAUGUUGAAAAAUUAGGGGAUGACUUGUGUCUAGGGGUGAAAGGCCAAUCAAACUCGGAAAUAGCUGGUUCUCCGCGAAAUCUAUUUAGGUAGAGCGUCGCACUUAUACUCUCGGGGGUAGAGCACUGGAUGGGCUAGGGGGCCUCACCGCUUACCAAACCUAACCAAACUCCGAAUACCGAGAAGUACUAUGCGGCAGACACACCACGGGUGCUAAGGUCCGUGGUGGAGAGGGAAAGAGCCCAGACCGCCAUCUAAGGUCCCCAAGUUAUGACUAAGUGGGAAAGGAAGUGGAACGGCCAAAACAACCAGGAGGUUGGCUUAGAAGCAGCCAUCCUUUAAAGAAAGCGUAACAGCUCACUGGUCUAAAUAAGCUAUUCUGCGCCGAAAAUGUAACGGGGCUAAAGUCAUACACCGAAGAUGCGGGCGUGCUAGCUUGCUAGCACGCGGUAGCGGAGCGUUCCCUAGGCCUGUGAAGGCGCCACGCGAGUGGNGCUGGAGGUAUGGGAAGUGAGAAUGCUGACAUGAGUAACGAUAAGGAGGGUGAGAAACCCUCCCGCCGAAAGUCCAAGGGUUCCUGCGCAAUGCUAAUCAGCGCAGGGUUAGCCGGCCCCUAAGGCGAGGGCGAAAGCCGUAGUCGAUGGGAACGGGGUUAAUAUUCCCCGGCCAGUGGGUAGUGACGAAUUGUGUAAGUUGUUCCUCCUUAUCGGAUUGGAGGGGCCGCGAAACAGUUCCAGGAAAUAGCUCCCACGUGAGACCGUACCCGAAACCGACACAGGUGGACUGGUAGAGUAUACCAAGGCGCUUGAGAGAACGAUGCUGAAGGAACUCGGCAAAAUGCCUCCGUAACUUCGGGAGAAGGAGGCCCGCCUUUGAGGCAACUCUUUGGCGGGGGCACAGACCAGGGGGUAGCGACUGUUUAUUAAAAACACAGGGCUCUGCGAAGUCGCAAGACGACGUAUAGGGUCUGACGCCUGCCCGGUGCCGGAAGGUUAAGAGGAGAGGUGCAAGCUUUGAAUCGAAGCCCCGGUAAACGGCGGCCGUAACAAUAACGGUCCUAAGGUAGCGAAAUUCCUUGUCGGGUAAGUUCCGACCUGCACGAAUGGCGUAACGACUUCCCCGCUGUCUCCAGCAUCGACUCAGUGAAAUUGAACUCCCCGUGAAGAUGCGGGGUUCCUGCGGUNAGACGGAAAGACCCCGUGCACCUUUACUAUAGCUUUGCAGUGGCAUUAGUGNCGGCAUGUGUAGNAUAGGUGGUAGNCUUUGAAGCNNNGGCGCCAGUNNNNGUGGAGNCNCNNUGUGAAAUACCACCCUUAUCNUCAUUGAUGUCUAACCGCGGACCGUUAUCCGGUUCCGGGACCCUGCAUGGUGGGUAGUUUGACUGGGGCGGUCGCCUCCCAAAG